AAGUGGCAUCACUGAAUUUUGAAAGAAUUUCGGUGGAGGAAGACUUCGCGGCCUAUCAGCUUGUUGGUGAGGUAAAGGCUCACCAAGGCGACGACGGGUAUCCGGCCUGAGAGGGCGACCGGACACACUGGGACUGAGACACGGCCCAGACUCCUACGGGAGGCAGCAGUGGGGAAUAUUGGGCAAUGGACGAAAGUCUGACCCAGCGACGCCGCGUGAGGGAUGAAGGCCUUCGGGUUGUAAACCUCUUUCAGUAGGGAAGAAGCGAAAGUGACGGUACCUAAAGAAGAAGCACCGGCUAACUAUGUGCCAGCAGCCGCGGUAAUACAUAGGGUGCAAGCGUUGUCCGGAAUUAUUGGGCGUAAAGAGCUCGUAGGUGGUUUGUUGCGUCGGGUGUGAAAUUCAGGGGCUCAACCCCUGACCUGCACUCGAUACGGGCAGACUAGAGUUUGGUAGGGGAGACUGGAAUUCCUGGUGUAGCGGUGGAAUGCGCACAUAUCAGGAGGAACACCAAUGGCGAAGGCAGGUCUCUGGGCCAAUACUGACACUGAGGAGCGAAAGCGCGGGGAGCGAACAGGAUUAGAUACCCUGGUAGUCCGCGCCGUAAACGAUGGGCGCUGGUUGUGGGG
Molecule: ribosomal RNA, 629 nt
Filed under: uncultured Actinomycetes bacterium
Lineage: Bacteria; Bacillati; Actinomycetota; Actinomycetes
Description: bacterial SSU rRNA
Rfam family: Bacterial small subunit ribosomal RNA
Source: RNAcentral